AUGGCUUGCAUAAUGAAAAAUAUUAAUAGUCCUACCGAGAAUACUUUUGAUCUGGAAAGUGUUGUGCAUAACUUUUCAGGCAAAUUGAACUAUUCACAGAGAAAGUUCAGAUCCAAAAAGCAGAAUGGGAAUUUCAGGGGCAGGGCCUCUAAAGGAAUUUCACUUUCUGAGGAUUUCAGGACUAUCUUUAGAUUGGAACUCUCUGAAGUUACACCAUGUAGGCAGGUCCACAUUUGUUCCACUUAUACAUAAGGUCAGUCCAGGACAGCACUUUCUAUCACUACAGGCAAAAAUAUACCUAGAAGCAAAACUGCUGUGUCAUAUGGUAACUCAAUGUUUAAACUUCUGAAAAAUUGCCAAACUGUUUCCAAAGUGACUGAACCAUUUUACAUUCCCACCAACAAUAAAUUAGGAUCCCAUUCUCCCAACAUUAAAUGUUUGUUUAAUGUAUUCACAUUCCCACCAACAAUAAUUUCUCCACAUCCUUGGAAAUCCUUGUUAAUCCAUCCUAGUGGGGACUAGGGAGUGGUAUUGUAUUGAGUUUUGAUUUGGAUUUCCCUGAUAACUAAUGAGGUGAACAUCUUUUCAUAUGUUUAUUGCAACUUGUAUACCUUCUUUGGAGAAAUGUCUAUUCAGAUUGCUUACCCAUUUUUAAAUUGGGUUAUUUAUCAUCUUUUGAUAGCUAUAGACUUACAUUUUUUUUAAAGCUCUGGCCCUUAUUUGUAUAGUGGUGAUAGGUUAUUGGAUUAAAAUAGGUAGUGCAUGGACUAUUAUGAUAAAGUUGAAAUUUAAGGAAAGGUACUUGUACAGAGUUGUCAGAAAUAUGACUACAAAUGUGUGGUAGUCAGGAAAUUGCUGUUGACUUUACAAUUUCAGUCAAGUUGUAGGAACAAAACGUAAAUUACAUAUGUUGGGAAAGAAAUAGGGGAUACAGAGAGAAAACGUCAUUUAAAAAUCUUUCAUGUAUUAAUUACCUUGCCAUAUUUUUUGCCAGUGGGAUCACAUGUGGAAGAAAGCAUCAAUUCUAAACACAUUGUUAUGGGGGAAAUCAUAGAUAGCAAAUUAUUCAGAAAAUGCUACAGCUGAGCAGAUUGCCUUGCGAGGCCGAACAGGCUCCACAUCCAC
RNAcentral lists this long non-coding RNA (1125 nucleotides) under Callithrix jacchus (white-tufted-ear marmoset). Its description in RNAcentral is "lncRNA (ENSCJAG00000083777.1)". Lineage: Eukaryota; Metazoa; Chordata; Mammalia; Primates; Cebidae. The record is from RNAcentral.